GAUGAACGCUGGCGGCGUGCCUAAUACAUGCAAGUCGAGCGAACAGAUAAGGAGCUUGCUCCUUUGACGUUAGCGGCGGACGGGUGAGUAACACGUGGGUAACCUACCUAUAAGACUGGGAUAACUUCGGGAAACCGGAGCUAAUACCGGAUGACAUUUGGAACCGCAUGGUUCUAAAGUGAAAGAUGGUUUUGCUAUCACUUAUAGAUGGACCCGCGCCGUAUUAGCUAGUUGGUAAGGUAACGGCUUACCAAGGCGACGAUACGUAGCCGACCUGAGAGGGUGAUCGGCCACACUGGAACUGAGACACGGUCCAGACUCCUACGGGAGGCAGCAGUAGGGAAUCUUCCGCAAUGGGCGAAAGCCUGACGGAGCAACGCCGCGUGAGUGAUGAAGGGUUUCGGCUCGUAAAACUCUGUUAUUAGGGAAGAACAAAUGUGUAAGUAACUGUGCACGUCUUGACGGUACCUAAUCAGAAAGCCACGGCUAACUACGUG
Molecule: ribosomal RNA, 497 nt
Filed under: uncultured bacterium
Lineage: Bacteria
Description: partial 16S ribosomal RNA
Rfam family: Bacterial small subunit ribosomal RNA
Source: RNAcentral